CAGAGUUCUCGCCCUCGCGGGUAGAUCUCCCACCCUUUGUCAUCGCUACCGUGUUGCUUUGGCGGGCCGCCGGGCCCAGCCCGGCCGCCGGCUCCGGCUGGCGCGCGCCCGCCAGAGGCUCCGCAAACUCUGAAUGUCAGCGUCGUCCGAGCACUACACAAUAGUUA
Molecule: unclassified non-coding RNA, 167 nt
Filed under: uncultured fungus
Lineage: Eukaryota; Fungi
Description: sequence contains ITS1, 5.8S rRNA gene
Source: RNAcentral